This 253-nucleotide ribosomal RNA is filed under the name uncultured bacterium. RNAcentral's name for it is "partial 16S ribosomal RNA". It matches the Rfam family "Bacterial small subunit ribosomal RNA", at positions 524 to 776 of the family's 1533-position model. The record is from RNAcentral.
UACAGAGGGUGCAAGCGUUGUUCGGAAUUAUUGGGCGUAAAGCGCGUGUAGGCGGGAUGGCAAGUCGGGUGUGAAAGCCCUCAGCUCAACUGAGGAAGUGCGCCCGAAACUACUGUUCUUGAGUGUCGGAGAGGGUGGCGGAAUUCCCGGUGUAGAGGUGAAAUUCGUAGAUAUCGGGAGGAACACCAGAGGCGAAGGCGGCCACCUGGACGAACACUGACGCUGAGACGCGAAAGCGUGGGGAGCAAACAGG